UUGACUGCUGUUUUGUUCCUUCUCUUGUUCAGUUUUGUGUUGAUUUUGUCGCUCUUUCUUCAGUCGUUAUGGUGCCUGAGCGUAAACGUUAUGUGGGCCAUGAUCAUGCCGCAAGCACGUCGCUGCCUUGAUAAAGAGCGUGAAAUCGCGCGCAUGCCGGCUUGACGCUGAUGUGCGCUUAUGUUUCGAAUACAGCGACGCCGGUGCACGCGUCGGUGCCCCUUCUAUGCAAUAGAUGCAAGUUCUAAGCGAGCCGUCGUCCCUAGCGUCAUUUAAUCCGUUUACUCAAACGGGCCACGUCGAUCCUCAUUGCAGACGAUCUGCAUUCACCUUCCACAGCGUGAUCGAAGCUUGCCCACUGCCAAAAAAUAAUUCGGUGGAAUUGCACUGGAGGAUGGAGCAAAUCAGAUGGAGAGCCACCUCGCUUCCGUGGUGACAUAGCAGGCAGGCUUUCUAGAUCCUCUGACUAAUCUGUGUACUCCAGCUGUGACUCACUGGUGGACGUUUGGGCUACAUGUUCGUACUUUGGCCCAGUAGUGACCAUCGUCACUCCAGGUACCUUGAAGACAGCCCACUGGACCACAGGCAGAAAAAGACAGUGUUGGCAAUGACUACUGCCAGAAUUCUAUUCCUUGUGCCACACAAACUGCAGAAAGGGUGUUGACCAGACUACAAGCCAAGCAAGCCAGGCUCGUGGCACCACCUACUCCAUCUGCUCCUGAACCCACGCACCACACAUACUUAGGUCAUUCCAUGGUAAUGUUUUUGAGGAUAUUGAAGAUUGGCGGGACCGUUUUGAUCAUGUUGCCAGCUUCAACAACUGGGAUGACAAAUGGAAUCUUUGGAAUGCCCGCUCGAGUACGUCAUCCAUAGUCAAGGGCAUAAUCAGUUCUUAUUACUGAAUAGAGAAUAUUACAAACAUGAAAAAAACAUUUUUUGUUUAAAUAUCCCGGUUAAAUGCCAGAAGCAGGAACUCCGUGUAAGUGGGCAAAUGUGAACAUAUCCUCAUGUUUGAUAUGGUAAAGACUGCUUUUGUUUGCAUAAACAAGAGAAAUGACAAUGCAACAUUGUGCUGAGGUUCCAUGUUUGCGCUGCUCCAUGGAUUUUCAUGUCAUCUUGCACUAUUAUAAACACGCUUAGUGGUUUCUUUUCAUUAGCUGUGAUGACUAGCCAUUUCCACGUAAAAAAUUUGAUUGUUGUCAGUUUUUACCAUAACUGUCAAGUAAAGUAUUUGCAAGGUCUAGCAUGUUCAGCUCCUCAGGUGUAGAAUGACAUGAACAGGAAUCUGGAAGGAAGGUACAGGAAUGUGUGGUGCAAAAGAUAGCCAUUUAAAGCCAUAUAUAAUUUGGGGUUUCAUUUGAAACUUGGGGACCUUUAGUGCUCGUGUGCAGUCUGGUAGUUUUAGAUAACAAUCAAGCUGGUUGUCACGUGUGAAAGAACUGUUGAACGAUUACCAAUUACAUUUUGUUUUAACAUUUGUGUAGAAUCGUGUUUUCUAAAAGGCCCCUGAUAUGUUUAUUGUCAAAGCACAUAUUUCCAAAACAGCCACAGAUUUUACCGUCACAUUUAAGGAAUCAGCCAAUUGAGCUGUCGUGAUUUUCCUGUCUCAUUGUGAUGGAAGCAUGGCUCUUGUCCUUGCGGAUUCAGUCAUGUAUUCCAGUACGUCCACUAUAUAUGACCAGCUGGACACCAUAACUUUUUUUGUUUCAUCUGAAAGUUCAGUAUUAAUUUAGUAUGCUUAUUAUAACUUUAUUGAGUGCUUCUCCUGUAGUAUACAUUUAAUUUUUGAUGGUACUGUUAAUGAACCAGUGAUAGUUAUUGCAUUCUAUUCGGCUGUUUUGCUCCCGAUUGAGUGCUACUUGUAUGCAGUCUCAAUUUUACAUUUGUCUUGGCCACCACACAGCCAUAGGCAAUGGGUAGAUCUGAACAGUUUCUGUAUAUCUAUAUCGUGACAACAGAAUGCAAAUAAAUUUGAAGUUUUUAAAAUUAGAA
Molecule: long non-coding RNA, 1992 nt
Organism: Dermacentor albipictus
Lineage: Eukaryota; Metazoa; Arthropoda; Arachnida; Ixodida; Ixodidae
Source: RefSeq, a predicted model, not a curated record